ACCCUCUCAGGGUCCCAUUUGGAGAGUUUCCAGUACUCUACCAGGCUCAGUUAUUGGAAGGAGAGUCAAGCAGAGGCCUACCCAUUCCAUUCCUAGCUUGGGCAGCGGCUAGCGAGCGGAAGGCAAUCUGCUACAAGU
This is a non-coding RNA of Ornithorhynchus anatinus (platypus), 138 nucleotides long. NCBI's taxonomy places the organism in Eukaryota, Metazoa, Chordata, Mammalia, Monotremata, Ornithorhynchidae. The record is from Rfam.